Molecule: ribosomal RNA, 253 nt
Filed under: uncultured bacterium
Lineage: Bacteria
Description: partial 16S ribosomal RNA
Rfam family: Bacterial small subunit ribosomal RNA
Source: RNAcentral
UACGUAGGCAGCAAGCGUUGUUCGGAGUUACUGGGCGUAAAGAGUGCGUAGGUGGUGCCCUAAGUCUGUUGUGAAAUCUCCCGGCUUAACUGGGAGGGUGCGGUGGAAACUGGGGUGCUUGAGUGUGGGAGAGGUAAGCGGAAUUCCUGGUGUAGCGGUGAAAUGCGUAGAUAUCAGGAGGAACACCGGUGGUGUAGACGGCUUUCUGGACCGUAACUGACGCUGAGACACGAAAGCGUGGGUAGCAAACAGG